UACAGAGGGUGCGAACGUUGCUCGGAAUUACUGGGCGUAAAGGGCGCGUAGGCGGCCAUUCAAGUUAGAUGUGAAAGCCCUGGGCUCAACCUAGGAAUUGCAUUUGAUACUGUUUGGCUUGAGUUCGGGAGAGGUGAGUGGAAUUCCCAGUGUAGAGGUGAAAUUCGUAGAUAUUGGGAAGAACACCAGUGGCGAAGGCGGCUCACUGGACCGACACUGACGCUGAGGCGCGAAAGCGUGGGGAGCAAACAGG
RNAcentral lists this ribosomal RNA (253 nucleotides) under uncultured bacterium. Its description in RNAcentral is "partial 16S ribosomal RNA". It matches the Rfam family "Bacterial small subunit ribosomal RNA", at positions 524 to 776 of the family's 1533-position model. The record is from RNAcentral.